Molecule: ribosomal RNA, 452 nt
Filed under: uncultured bacterium
Lineage: Bacteria
Description: bacterial SSU rRNA
Rfam family: Bacterial small subunit ribosomal RNA
Source: RNAcentral
GCGGCAUGCCUAACACAUGCAAGUCGAACGCUAUUUAUAGAGUGGCGCACGGGUGAGUAACGCGUGGGAACCUGCCUUUUUCUGCGGGAUAACGGUUGGAAACGACCGCUAAUACCGCAUACGCCCUGCGGGGGAAAGGUCCGCCGGAGAAAGAGGGGCCCGCGUCUGAUUAGCUAGUUGGUGGGGUAACGGCCUACCAAGGCGACGAUCAGUAGCUGGUCUGAGAGGAUGAUCAGCCACACUGGGACUGAGACACGGCCCAGACUCCUACGGGAGGCAGCAGUGGGGAAUAUUGGACAAUGGGGGCAACCCUGAUCCAGCAAUGCCGCGUGUGUGAUGAAGGCCUUAGGGUUGUAAAGCACUUUCACUGGUGAAGAUGAUGACGGUAACCAGAGAAGAAGCCCCGGCUAACUUCGUGCCAGCAGCCGCGGUAAUACGAAGGGGGCGAGCGU